RNAcentral lists this ribosomal RNA (693 nucleotides) under uncultured bacterium. RNAcentral's name for it is "bacterial SSU rRNA". It matches the Rfam family "Bacterial small subunit ribosomal RNA", at positions 69 to 746 of the family's 1533-position model. The record is from RNAcentral.
ACAGAGAAGUGCUUGCACUUUCAAAGUUAGCGGCGGACGGGUGAGUAACACGUAAGGAACCUACCGAUAAGCGGGGGACAACAUCCGGAAACGGGUGCUAAUACCGCAUAGGAAGUUUGUUCGCAUGAACAAACUUAGAAAGAUGGCUCUGCUAUCACUUAUCGAUGGCCUUGCGGUGCAUUAACUAGUUGGCGAGGUAACGGCUCACCAAGGUGAUGAUGCAUAGCCGACCUGAGAGGGUAAUCGACCACAUUGGGACUGAGACACGGCCCAAACUCCUACGGGAGGCAGCAGUAGGGAAUCUUCCGCAAUGGACGCAAGUCUGACGGAGCAACGCCGCGUGAGUGAAGAAGGUUUUCGGAUCGUAAAACUCUGUUGUAGGAGAAGAACAAAUUGUAGAGUAACUGCUACAGUCUUGACGGUAUCUUACCAGAAAGCCACGGCUAACUACGUGCCAGCAGCCGCGGUAAUACGUAGGUGGCAAGCGUUGUCCGGAUUUAUUGGGCGUAAAGGGGGCGCAGGCUGCUUCUUAAGUCUGAUGUGAAAGCCCACGGCUUAACCGUGGAAGUGCAUUGGAAACUGGGAAGCUUGAGUACAGAAGAGGAAAGUGGAACUCCAUGUGUAGCGGUGGAAUGCGUAGAUAUAUGGAAGAACACCAGUGGCGAAAGCGACUUUCUGGUCUGUCACUGACGC